CACGCCGUAAACGAUGAUAACUAGCUGUCCGGACACUUGGUGUUUGGGUGGCGCAGCUAACGCAUUAAGUUAUCCGCCUGGGGAGUACGGCCGCAAGGUUAAAACUCAAAUGAAUUGACGGGGGCCUGCACAAGCGGUGGAGCAUGUGGUUUAAUUCGAAGCAACGCGCAGAACCUUACCAGCGUUUGACAUGGCAGGACGACUUCCAGAGAUGGAUUUCUUCCCUUCGGGGACCUGCACACAGGUGC
Molecule: ribosomal RNA, 248 nt
Filed under: uncultured Sphingomonas sp.
Lineage: Bacteria; Pseudomonadati; Pseudomonadota; Alphaproteobacteria; Sphingomonadales; Sphingomonadaceae
Description: partial 16S ribosomal RNA
Rfam family: Bacterial small subunit ribosomal RNA
Source: RNAcentral